GUGAAUCAUCGAAUCUUUGAACGCAAAUUGCACUCUCCUCUGAGAGUAUGCCUGUUUCAGGUCCAGCCUGUAAAAAUCGACAUCGUUGCUGUUUCGCGGUAACGUUUGUCGGAAAUUGGGUCAUCUUAAAUCCUUUUGGUUUUUAAGCGACUUAAAAUUUUCUUUUUGGUUCCAUGAACGUUUCUAAGAUUUAUUUCUUUACACGUUUAAGGUAUCGAUUUUUAUUAGGCGUUACCAUCAUAUCGGAUCGCGUCCAUAAUCUUUCAUUAACUGACCUCAGACAGGUAAGAGUACCCGCUGA
This 301-nucleotide unclassified non-coding RNA is filed under the name Glomus sp. RNAcentral's name for it is "partial internal transcribed spacer 2". The stretch from base 1 to 65 matches the Rfam family "5.8S ribosomal RNA", at positions 84 to 154 of the family's 154-position model. Lineage: Eukaryota; Fungi; Glomeromycota; Glomeromycetes; Glomerales; Glomeraceae. The record is from RNAcentral.